RNAcentral lists this transfer RNA (73 nucleotides) under Hyella patelloides LEGE 07179. Its description in RNAcentral is "Hyella sp. LEGE 07179 tRNA". It matches the Rfam family "tRNA". From Rfam's summary of the family: Transfer RNA (tRNA) molecules are approximately 80 nucleotides in length. The record is from Rfam by way of RNAcentral. Lineage: Bacteria; Bacillati; Cyanobacteriota; Cyanophyceae; Pleurocapsales; Pleurocapsaceae.
GGGGCAUUAACUCAGUUGGUAGAGUGCUUGCAUGGCAUGCAAGAUGUCACCGGUUCAAGUCCGGUAUGCUCCA